RNAcentral lists this ribosomal RNA (1152 nucleotides) under Leuconostoc mesenteroides. RNAcentral describes it as "bacterial SSU rRNA". It matches the Rfam family "Bacterial small subunit ribosomal RNA", at positions 39 to 1171 of the family's 1533-position model. Lineage: Bacteria; Bacillati; Bacillota; Bacilli; Lactobacillales; Lactobacillaceae. The record is from RNAcentral.
GGGGGGGGCCUAAAACAUGGCAAGUUCGAACGCACAGCGAAAGGUGCUUGCACCUUUCAAGUGAGUGGCGAACGGGUGAGUAACACGUGGACAACCUGCCUCAAGGCUGGGGAUAACAUUUGGAAACAGAUGCUAAUACCGAAUAAAACUUAGUGUCGCAUGACACAAAGUUAAAAGGCGCUUCGGCGUCACCUAGAGAUGGAUCCGCGGUGCAUUAGUUAGUUGGUGGGGUAAAGGCCUACCAAGACAAUGAUGCAUAGCCGAGUUGAGAGACUGAUCGGCCACAUUGGGACUGAGACACGGCCCAAACUCCUACGGGAGGCUGCAGUAGGGAAUCUUCCACAAUGGGCGAAAGCCUGAUGGAGCAACGCCGCGUGUGUGAUGAAGGCUUUCGGGUCGUAAAGCACUGUUGUAUGGGAAGAACAGCUAGAAUAGGAAAUGAUUUUAGUUUGACGGUACCAUACCAGAAAGGGACGGCUAAAUACGUGCCAGCAGCCGCGGUAAUACGUAUGUCCCGAGCGUUAUCCGGAUUUAUUGGGCGUAAAGCGAGCGCAGACGGUUUAUUAAGUCUGAUGUGAAAGCCCGGAGCUCAACUCCGGAAUGGCAUUGGAAACUGGUUAACUUGAGUGCAGUAGAGGUAAGUGGAACUCCAUGUGUAGCGGUGGAAUGCGUAGAUAUAUGGAAGAACACCAGUGGCGAAGGCGGCUUACUGGACUGCAACUGACGUUGAGGCUCGAAAGUGUGGGUAGCAAACAGGAUUAGAUACCCUGGUAGUCCACACCGUAAACGAUGAACACUAGGUGUUAGGAGGUUUCCGCCUCUUAGUGCCGAAGCUAACGCAUUAAGUGUUCCGCCUGGGGAGUACGACCGCAAGGUUGAAACUCAAAGGAAUUGACGGGGACCCGCACAAGCGGUGGAGCAUGUGGUUUAAUUCGAAGCAACGCGAAGAACCUUACCAGGUCUUGACAUCCUUUGAAGCUUUUAGAGAUAGAAGUGUUCUCUUCGGAGACAAAGUGACAGGUGGUGCAUGGUCGUCGUCAGCUCGUGUCGUGAGAUGUUGGGUUAAGUCCCGCAACGAGCGCCACCCUUAUUGUUAGUUGCCAGCAUUCAGAUGGGCACUCUAGCGAGACUGCCGGUGAACAACCGGAAGAA